AGAUUGAUUGCCCGACGAAGCAUUUUUACUUUCUCAAUUAAUCCCGGGUAUGAUCGUCAUAAAUCCAGGAGGGGGAGUAAUGGGAUGUGAGCAGACCUCGAUCCCUUCUCACUGUGGGUUGGAGGGGGGGAGGUAAUGGAUAGAGACAUCUUCCCUAGGAAGGGGCUGAGGGAGGUGGGCAGCGAGAUGGGUUUCUGGAGAGGAAGAUAGAUGUUGGGGCCAGCGUUGGCUUUUUCCUCAAUGGAGAACAGAUUUCUGCCAUCAAUCCACAUUAAGAAGCCUUCAUGGCCGCAUAGAAACCCAAUGAGGGUAAUUCAAUUAGCCCCGCAUGCUUCUUUUAAGAUGGGUUUUGAUAAUGGAGGGCUGCUUGGCCUGAAGUUCGCACUGAAUCUACUCUCUGCUUCCUUUAUAUAUAUAUAGGAAAUCUCUUUUAAUUAAGAGUCACUGUGGUUCAUCAGACACCUCCUCCCCACGCCAAGGAGUUGUCCCAAACCACACCAAAGGUUGCCAGCCAACAAAUCCUGGUGUGGUGACACCUCCAUGUGCUCAGCCCAUCACCAAGACAGGCCGUGGAUGCUCCAUCCCUGGAGGUGUUAUGAGCAGUCGCUCGGCCAAUGGCUCCAGAAGAGCCAGAGAGCAGGAAGGCUCAGCCAGCUCCUUUCUACCCACUGUCUGUGCUAGACCUACAUCGGUUCCUCUACCCAAUGCCUAUGAGUUUGAACUGUUCCACUUAAAGGAAAGGGGCAAACCCACCCCCAAAAGCUUGCACAUCCAUUUUUUUCUCUCUGGAGCAGAUGGUGGGGUGGGGCUGGGAGGGAGGGAGCAAACAGAAUAGAGUCCAAACACAGCAUCCAUAAUGCUUCCCAUCUCUCUCCCCUUUGUGAGGUUUGGGAGGAGAACGUCGUCGCCGCUGCUUUCUCCCACCUCAAGCUGAGGUUGUUGCUGUGAUUUAGAGGACCGUCGUGCAAAGAGUUAAUUGGAAUAGCAAAAACAAUCUGCUGGGGGCUGAAAUGUAUUUAGCUGGUGGGUAACAGGAGCUGAAUGGCACGGAGUCCUUUAUGCUAUGCAGAGGUUGGGAUCCCAGGGCCAUAUGGGGGGGCAAAGGGGGAGGGUGG
RNAcentral lists this long non-coding RNA (1115 nucleotides) under Coturnix japonica (Japanese quail). Its description in RNAcentral is "lncRNA (ENSCJPG00005011248.1)". Lineage: Eukaryota; Metazoa; Chordata; Aves; Galliformes; Phasianidae. The record is from RNAcentral.